GCUACAGGCUUAACACAUGCAAGUCGAGGGGCAGCAUGGUCUUAGCUUGCUAAGGCCGAUGGCGACCGGCGCACGGGCGAGUAACACGUAUCCAACCUGCCGUCUACUCUUGGACAGCCUUCUGAAAGGAAGAUUAAUACAAGAUGGCAUCAUGAGUCCACAUGUUCACAUGAUUAAAGGUAUUCCGGUAGACGAUGGGGAUGCGUUCCAUUAGAUAGUAUGCGGGGUAACGGCCCACCUAGUCUUCGAUGGAUAGGGGUUCUGAGAGGAAGGUCCCCCACAUUGGAACUGAGACACGGUCCAAACUCCUACGGGAGGCAGCAGUGAGGAAUAUUGGUCAAUGGGCGAGAGCCUGAACCAGCCAAGUAGCGUGAAGGAUGACUGCCCUAUGGGUUGUAAACUUCUUUUAUAAAGGAAUAAAGUCGGGUAUGGAUACCCGUUUGCAUGUACUUUAUGAAUAAGGAUCGGCUAACUCCGUGCCAGCAGCCGCGGUAAUACGGAGGAUCCGAGCGUUAUCCGGAUUUAUUGGGUUUAAAGGGAGCGUAGAUGGAUGUUUAAGUCAGUUGUGAAAGUUUGCGGCUCAACCGUAAAAUUGCAGUUGAUACUGGAUAUCUUGAGUGCAGUUGAGGCAGGCGGAAUUCGUGGUGUAGCGGUGAAAUGCUUAGAUAUCACGAAGAACUCCGAUUGCGAAGGCAGCCUGCUAAGCUGCAACUGACAUUGAGGCUCGAAAGUGUGGGUAUCAAACAGGAUUAGAUACCCUGGUAGUCCACACGGUAAACGAUGAAUACUCGCUGUUUGCGAUAUACAGCAAGCGGCCAAGCGAAAGCGUUAAGUAUUCCACCUGGGGAGUACGCCGGCAACGGUGAAACUCAAAGGAAUUGACGGGGGCCCGCACAAGCGGAGGAACAUGUGGUUUAAUUCGAUGAUACGCGAGGAACCUUACCCGGGCUUAAAUUGCAGAUGAAUUACGGUGAAAGCCGUAAGCCGCAAGGCAUCUGUGAAGGUGCUGCAUGGUUGUCGUCAGCUCGUGCCGUGAGGUGUCGGCUUAAGUGCCAUAACGAGCGCAACCCUUGUUGUCAGUUACUAACAGGUUCCGCUGAGGACUCUGACAAGACUGCCAUCGUAAGAUGUGAGGAAGGUGGGGAUGACGUCAAAUCAGCACGGCCCUUACGUCCGGGGCUACACACGUGUUACAAUGGGGGGUACAGAGGGCCGCUACCACGCGAGUGGAUGCCAAUCCCAAAAACCUCUCUCAGUUCGGACUGGAGUCUGCAACCCGACUCCACGAAGCUGGAUUCGCUAGUAAUCGCGCAUCAGCCACGGCGCGGUGAAUACGUUCCCGGGCCUUGUACACACCGCCCGUCAAGCCAUGGGAGCCGGGGGUACCUGAAGUGCGUAACCGCGAGGAGCGCCCUAGGGUAAAACUGGUGACUGGGGCU
This 1439-nucleotide ribosomal RNA is filed under the name uncultured organism. RNAcentral describes it as "SSU rRNA". It matches the Rfam family "Bacterial small subunit ribosomal RNA". The record is from RNAcentral.